CCUACGGGGGGCAGCAGUGAGGAAUAUUGGUCAAUGGACGAGAGUCUGAACCAGCCAAGUAGCGUGAAGGAUGACUGCCCUAUGGGUUGUAAACUUCUUUUAUAUGGGAAUAAAAUGUUCCACGUGUGGGAUUUUGUAUGUACCAUAUGAAUAAGGAUCGGCUAACUCCGGGCCAGCAGCCGCGGUAAUACGGAGGAUCCGAGCGUUAUCCGGAUUUAUUGGGGUUAAAGGGAGCGUAGGUGGAUUGUUAAGUCAGUUGUGAAAGUUUCCGGCUCAACCGUAGAAUUGCAGUUGAAACUGGCAGUCUUGAGUACAGUAGAGGUGGGCGGAAUUCGUGGUGUAGCGGUGAAAUGCGUAGAUAUCACGAAGAAUUCCGAUUGCGAAGGCAGUUCACUGGACUGCAACUGACACUGAGGCUCGAAAGUGUGGGUAUCAAACAGGAUUAGAUACCCGGGUAGUC
Molecule: ribosomal RNA, 460 nt
Filed under: uncultured bacterium
Lineage: Bacteria
Description: partial 16S ribosomal RNA
Rfam family: Bacterial small subunit ribosomal RNA
Source: RNAcentral